UUGCUCUCAUAUCUACCUUUUCUUCCUUUCUUUCUGUCUUUUUUCUGUGUUUCUUUUUUUCUCUCUCUCUCUCUCUUUUUUUAUUUUAAACCUUUUUUUUCUUUUUCUUUUUUUUACUUUGGGUGUAUAUGCCGUCGAACAUUUAACUUUAACAAUUGUGCUGAAAAUAUAUAUGUGUGGAUCUAUCGCGGCAGAUGAGGAUCCCUCAGACCUUCAAGCAACUCCAAAUCUGCACCCGAGCACAUCUGUGGACUCUAUCCUUCAUUCCACCGGAGUCUGUGUCUCUAACCAAUCAGAUUUCAGUGGUGUGAAGCAUAGAAGACACAGAGCAGUCACAUGACCCCUCUUCUGCAUACUGAUUUGGAAGAAGAAUAAAAAAAAGAGCAAAAAUUUAAAAUGUUAAAUAAAUGUUGAAUUAACCGUUGAAUUAACCCUUUUUUGUAUUAUUUAUCACAUAUUUAUUACUUUAUUUAAUUAUUUUAAAUGUUGAGUUGCACAUACCACUGAUAGAGAUUGAUAAAUGUUGUCUAUUAGAAUAGAGCGAGAAACAUGAACCAGCCAAUGAAAAAAGCUUACAAGCCAAUAAAACAGUAGCUUAGCCCCGCCCACUUCACUGGAAAAAAUCAGUAGCACUCUUAAACCCAAUAAAGGAAAAUAAUAAGAGCUAUUUUUUUAGACACGUUAAUCAUGUUUAUUUUACUGUGUAGGAAUGGUUUGUGGAAUAAAAAAGGUCAAUAUAAAAAAAAUAUAAAAUAAAAAUGUGAAACACAGGCUUCCACUACAAUGGACAUAAAAAACAAUUAAAUAUUUUAGUUAUAUUGAUUUAACUGGACUUUAUAUUAGAGUAUUACAUUCCUCUUUUGCUUGUUCUGCAUUAAAGGCAAUUUUUAUGUUUCUGCAUCACUGCAAUAUAACUCACAUAAUAUAACUUUAACCAUUUGUUAGAGCACAUUUAAUUCAUGUUAUUUUUAAAGAAAGGUUUGAAAGGAUUGCACUAUCCUUAACAAUCAGCUCAGGUUAGACUGUUUUUGGUAGUUUUAGAACAUAAGCAGUAUGAUACUCAGCUUUAAUCAAUGAAUUUUGCUUAGUUACUAUUAUUUUUUAUUAUUUGUAUCAAACAUUUGAAAAUAAAACUUUUUUUGUUACUGUCCUAAACGACACCAAAAAAAAACACCAAAAAUGAAAUAUGCCACUACUUUUUUUUUUUUUUUUUGAUAAUGAUGUUAAAGGAGUAAAUUGAAUGUCCACUGCAACUAUAAAUGGAAAUAUAUAUGAAACAACUAUAUUACACCACACAGUUAUUGCUAAAAAGAAGUAAAACAAACAAAUGAAAAUGUAUUGAUGUAAAAUAUCUCAAAUAAGUUUUACCCCUUUUUUUCUUUUUCUGUAUUGUUUUUUUUUUUUUU
Astyanax mexicanus (Mexican tetra) is the source of this 1406-nucleotide long non-coding RNA. RefSeq lists it as uncharacterized. The record is from RefSeq and is a predicted model, not a curated record. Lineage: Eukaryota; Metazoa; Chordata; Actinopteri; Characiformes; Acestrorhamphidae. The transcript has 2 exons.